AUUGAACGCUGGCGGCGUGCCUAACACAUGCAAGUCGAGCGGUAACAGGCGUAGCAAUACGUGCUGACGAGCGGCGAACGGGUGAGCAAUGCUUCGGAAUCUGCCCAAUGAUGGGGAAUAACCAGUCGAAAGAUUGGCUAAUACCGCAUACGUCCUACGGGAGAAAGCAGGGGAUCUUCGGACCUUGCGCUAAUAGAUGAGCCUAAGUCGGAUUAGCUAGUGGGUGGGGUAAAGGCGUACCAAGCCGACGAUCUGUAGCGGGUCUGAGAGGAUGAUCCGCCACACUGGGACGGAGACACGGCCCAGACUCCUACGGUAGGCAGCAGUUGGGAAUAUUGGACAAUGGGCGGAAGCCUGAUCCAGCCAUGCCGCGUGUGUGAAGAAGGCCUUAUGGUUGUAAAGCACUUUAAGCGAGGAGGAGGCUACUUUAGUUAAUACCUAGAGAUAGUGGACGUUACUCGCAGAAUAAGCACCGGCUAACUCUGUGCCAGCCGCCGCCGUAA
RNAcentral lists this ribosomal RNA (503 nucleotides) under uncultured bacterium. RNAcentral's name for it is "partial 16S ribosomal RNA". It matches the Rfam family "Bacterial small subunit ribosomal RNA", at positions 30 to 523 of the family's 1533-position model. The record is from RNAcentral.